Long non-coding RNA from Fukomys damarensis (Damara mole-rat), 477 nucleotides. RefSeq lists it as uncharacterized. Lineage: Eukaryota; Metazoa; Chordata; Mammalia; Rodentia; Bathyergidae. The record is from RefSeq and is a predicted model, not a curated record. The transcript is spliced from 3 exons.
CGACUCUUUUCUUCUGGAACAAUUUUCUUAAUUUGACUCCCCUUUGCCAGCUGCUUCCUCUCCUGACGUUCACCUCGCAGCAGCAUUGAAGACGUGCAGGACCAGACAGCGCCUGCCACGGUUCCGAGGAUGGCCCAGGAGCCCUGCAGACCACGCGGUCUGUCCCAGGAGAGCCACCAGCAAGCGGGAGUCGUGCAAGGGCGGUGCCCAGGCCUCACACCCUGAAGCCAACCGGGACUCGAACGGGCUCUAAAGCCCAGGCGCGAGCCUGAGCCUCCGGUGGGCGGGACGGCAGGUGCACGCUUGUCAUUGGGUAGCCUUGCUGUCAAUCACUGAGAAAACGCGACGGGAGGAUGGGCUAACCCAAUGGCGGUCGAGGACCUCGCCUUCGCGGAAGAUUGGCAGUGGUCCCAUCCCCUUGCUCGUCUGGAGGAAACAGAGGUACAUGGUAUAUUCUCGCUACUGGGACUGGAAGGA